CUUUCCAAGGGGCCUAUCACUCAAGUUACCAUAUUAAAACCCUGAAGAAUGGAUCAUUUCUUGGUUCCCUAUUGAGUGUCAGAGUUGUCCUAUGAAACCUGGCAGCCUGCUCGAGAGUCAACAUGCUUAAUUUGAUGGAAAAUGGUUAAGUUACAAAUCAUCUGAGUAACUCAAGAGGAAACAGCUUUUUAGUGGCAGCAAGAGGAGACCUGAAUCUGAAAGUUAAAGACAGCCCCAUUCUGGACUUGGAGACGAAAGGAGGAUCAAGACUAUGUUACUUAUGUUUCAUACAUAAUACAAUGUCUGAAACUAAAGGCACCUUCUGGACUGUGAGAGGAAGGGAGGCCAAGUCUGCGUUACUUAUGCUCCACAUAUAACAUGAUGUCAGACUUUUAGUUGAAAGUAAAUGACAGACAUUUUGAAUGAAUGAAUGAGUGGAUAAAAGAAUGAAGGUAGUUAGGAGAGAAGGUGGAAAGAAGGAAGGAAGUUAAAAGGAGAGGAAAUGAAAGUGGAAAGAAGACAAGAUGGGAGUGAUUGUGAGAAUGAACUUGGGCCUGAUCAAGGAGAUGCUUGACCUCGACCUCCUAUGGAGCUUAUAAUAGGACUUAGUUAACAAUUUAAGAAAGUUGCAAACAACUCAUGUGAAAAACAAAAGCUGGAAGCACACAGGCAUCUCCAUAUAGAGGGGAACGACAGAAGAAACUUCAACCCAGAAGUGGUUAUGGGGAAAAGGCAUAGCACUAACAAUGUCUCUAAACACACCCGCAACCUCAUUCUGUAUACACCCUUGACUUUCUAACCAUCUGGUAUUUGGAGCCUUAGUAAAAGAACAAUAGCAAAAAAUAAAGUCACCUGAGACAACUUCUA
Molecule: long non-coding RNA, 867 nt
Organism: Peromyscus maniculatus bairdii (prairie deer mouse)
Lineage: Eukaryota; Metazoa; Chordata; Mammalia; Rodentia; Cricetidae
Source: RefSeq, a predicted model, not a curated record